UUGGGAGUCAACAUCCAAGGAUAUACCUUGUAUUGAAACGGCAGACAGGUGUGGAAGAAGCAAUUCAACCCGUCGCAUCUGUUGCAACUCUCAAAGCAAUCCCAUCAGAAUCAAAAUCUGGUUUAAUAUUACCAGUAUACGUUUGCAGAUGAUACCGUUGGAGGAGGCCGCAUCUCUGAUGAGUCAUUGUACAGAAGGGAGAUAGUGACAUGGUGAUAUGACAACCUUUCCCUCAACAUCAACAAAACGAAAGAGCUGGUCAUUGUCUUCAGAAAGGGAGGUGCUGCAUAUGUUCCUGUCUACAUGAACAGGAUAUGUCCCUGAGUGUAAACACCAUCGGUGGACUGACUUGAACCAACUAUGUUGGUAUCACGGCCACGUAAGCUCACCAACACCCUUACACUCUCAGGAGGCUAAAAAAAAAAUCCUGCAUGUCCCCAGCAAUUCUUGCCAAUUUUUAUUGAUGCACCAUAGAAAGUAUCGUAUCUGGAUGCAUAAUGGCUUGGUAUGGCAACUGCUCUGCAUGUGACCGCAAGAAACCGCAGGGAGUUAUAGACACAGCUCCAGCAUAUCAGAGGAACCAGCCUCCCCUCUGUGCAUUCCGUCCAUACUUCUUGCUGCCUCAGUAAAGACGCAAGCAUAACAAAGACCCCACCUAUCCCAGGCAUUCCUUCUUCUCCUCCUCCCAUUGGGCAGAAGAUACAAAAGUCAGAAAGCACAUACUAAGAAAGGAUAAUUUCAGUGCUACUGUCAUCAGACUUUUGAGUGGACCCCUAUUGAAGAACAAAAUGGAUUCUUGGCCUGACAAUCCAGGAUCAAUCUAUGAUCUUGCAUUUUAUAGUUUACCUGCACUGCACUUUCCCUGUAGCUUUUACACUUCAU
This is a long non-coding RNA of Mobula hypostoma (lesser devil ray), 882 nucleotides long. RefSeq lists it as uncharacterized. The record is from RefSeq and is a predicted model, not a curated record. Lineage: Eukaryota; Metazoa; Chordata; Chondrichthyes; Myliobatiformes; Myliobatidae. The transcript has 3 exons.